RNAcentral lists this ribosomal RNA (253 nucleotides) under uncultured bacterium. RNAcentral describes it as "partial 16S ribosomal RNA". It matches the Rfam family "Bacterial small subunit ribosomal RNA", at positions 524 to 776 of the family's 1533-position model. The record is from RNAcentral. RNAcentral also lists the same sequence under 1 other name.
UACAGAGGUCCCGAGCGUUGUUCGGAUUCACUGGGCGUAAAGGGUGCGUAGGCGGCUGGGUAAGUCUGAUGUGAAAUCUCCGGGCCCAACCCGGAAAUGGCAUCGGAAACUACCUGGCUGGAGGCUUGGAGGGGGAACUGGAAUACUUGGUGUAGCAGUGAAAUGCGUAGAUAUCAAGUGGAACACCGGUGGCGAAGGCGAGUUCCUGGACAAGACCUGACGCUGAGGCACGAAAGCUAGGGGAGCAAACAGG